Molecule: ribosomal RNA, 1781 nt
Filed under: Proteus mirabilis
Lineage: Bacteria; Pseudomonadati; Pseudomonadota; Gammaproteobacteria; Enterobacterales; Morganellaceae
Description: partial 23S ribosomal RNA
Rfam family: Bacterial large subunit ribosomal RNA
Source: RNAcentral
GCUAAACCAUGCACCGAAGCUGCGGCAGCGACUCAACGUGUUGUUGGGUUGGGGAGCGUUCUGUAAGCCUGCGAAGGUGUACUGUGAGGUAUGCUGGAGGUAUCAGAAGUGCGAAUGCUGACAUAAGUAACGAUAAUGCGGGUGAAAAACCCGCACGCCGGAAGACCAAGGGUUCCUGUCCAACGUUAAUCGGGGCAGGGUGAGUCGACCCCUAAGGCGAGGCUGAAAAGCGUAGUCGAUGGGAAACGGGUUAAUAUUCCCGUACUGGUGGUAACUGCGAUGGGGGAACGGAGAAGGCUAGGUUGUCCGGGCGACGGUCGUCCCGGUUCAAGCAGGUAGGCAGAGUGAUUAGGCAAAUCCGGUCACUUAAUGCUGAGAUGUGAUGACGAACCACCAAGGUGGUGAAGCAAUUGAUGCCCCGCUUCCAGGAAAAGCCUCUAAGCUUCAGGUUACCAACAAUCGUACCCCAAACCGACACAGGUGGUCAGGUAGAGAAUACUCAGGCGCUUGAGAGAACUCGGGUGAAGGAACUAGGCAAAAUGGUGCCGUAACUUCGGGAGAAGGCACGCUGGCGGUAGGUAAAGUCCCUCGCGGACGGCGCUGAAGCCAGUCGAAGAUACCAGCUGGCUGCAACUGUUUAUUAAAAACACAGCACUGUGCAAACACGAAAGUGGACGUAUACGGUGUGACGCCUGCCCGGUGCUGGAAGGUUAAUUGAUGGGGUUAGCGUAAGCGAAGCUCCUGAUCGAAGCCCCAGUAAACGGCGGCCGUAACUAUAACGGUCCUAAGGUAGCGAAAUUCCUUGUCGGGUAAGUUCCGACCUGCACGAAUGGCGUAAUGAUGGCCAGGCUGUCUCCACCCGAGACUCAGUGAAAUUGAACUCGCUGUGAAGAUGCAGUGUACCCGCGGCAAGACGGAAAGACCCCGUGAACCUUUACUAUAGCUUGACACUGAACAUUGAGCCUUGAUGUGUAGGAUAGGUGGGAGGCUUUGAAGUGUGGACGCCAGUCUGCAUGGAGCCAACCUUGAAAUACCACCCUUUAACGUUUGAUGUUCUAACCUAGGCCCAUAAACUGGGUCGGGGACCGUGUCUGGUGGGUAGUUUGACUGGGGCGGUCUCCUCCUAAAGAGUAACGGAGGAGCACGAAGGUUGGCUAAGCAUGGUCGGACAUCAUGCGGUUAGUGCAAAGGCAUAAGCCAGCUUGACUGCGAGAGUGACGGCUCGAGCAGGUACGAAAGUAGGUCUUAGUGAUCCGGUGGUUCUGAAUGGAAGGGCCAUCGCUCAACGGAUAAAAGGUACUCCGGGGAUAACAGGCUGAUACCGCCCAAGAGUUCAUAUCGACGGCGGUGUUUGGCACCUCGAUGUCGGCUCAUCACAUCCUGGGGCUGAAGUAGGUCCCAAGGGUAUGGCUGUUCGCCAUUUAAAGUGGUACGCGAGCUGGGUUUAGAACGUCGUGAGACAGUUCGGUCCCUAUCUGCCGUGGGCGUUGGAAGAUUGAGAGGGGUUGCUCCUAGUACGAGAGGACCGGAGUGAACGCACCACUGGUGUUCGGGUUGUCAUGCCAAUGGCAUUGCCCGGUAGCUAAGUGCGGAAGAGAUAACCGCUGAAAGCAUCUAAGCGGGAAACUUGCCUCGAGAUGAGUCUUCCCUGUCGCUUUAAGCGACCUAAAGGAACGUUUAAGACUAAGACGUUGAUAGGCUGGGUGUGUAAGCGUAGCGAUACGUUGAGCUAACCAGUACUAAUGAACCGUGAGGCUUAACCUGACAACACCGAAACUGUU